This 781-nucleotide ribosomal RNA is filed under the name uncultured bacterium. Its description in RNAcentral is "bacterial SSU rRNA". It matches the Rfam family "Bacterial small subunit ribosomal RNA", at positions 28 to 787 of the family's 1533-position model. The record is from RNAcentral.
AACGAACGCCAGCGGCGUGGAUUAGGCAUGCAAGUCGAACGGACUCCGUAGCAAUACGGAGUUAGUGGCGGAAGGGUGAGUAAUGCAUAGAUAACCUACCCCCGAGACCGGGAUAACUCCGGGAAACCGGAGCUAAGACCGGAUGGGAUCACUGGGUCGCAUGACUCUGGUGAUUAAAGGAGGCCUCUGAAUAUGCUCCCGCUCGGGGAGGGAUCUAUGUCCUAUCAGCUAGUUGGUGAGGGUAAGAGCCCACCAAGGCAUUGACGGGUAGCCGGCCUUAGCGGGUGUCCGGCCACAUUGGGACUGAGACACUGCCCAAACUCCUACGGGAGGCUGCAGUCGAGGAUCUUCCGCAAUGGGCGCAAGCCUGACGGAGCGACGCCACGUGUGGGAUGAAGGCCUUCGGGUUGUAAACCACUGUCACCCGUUAAGAAAGGGUUGGGGGUUAACAGCUUCCAGCACUGACGAAGGCGGGAGAGGAAGCCACGGCUAACUUCGUGCCAGCAGCCGCGGUAAGACGAAGGUGGCGAGCGUUGUUCGGAAUCACUGGGCAUAAAGUGCACGUAGGCGGUGACAUAAGUCGGUUGUGAAAUCCCUCGGCCUAACCGAGGAACUGCGGCCGAUACUGUGUUGCUUGAGGACCAGAGGGGUGCAUGGAAUUUCCGGUGGAGCGGUGAAAUGCGUUGAUAUCGGAAGGAACUCCGGCGGCGAAAGCGAUGCACUGGCUGGUUUACUGACGCUGAGGUGCGAAAGCCAGGGGAGCAAACGGGAUUAGAUACCC